ACGAUUUUGAUAGAAAAUUUUUUUUUUUUUUUUUGUUGAUAUUAACCCUUUUUUAUUUUUAUAAUUGCAAAAUUUUCUAUCUAUGGGAUUAAAGGUGGCCUCUCGCUCUACCAGAACCAAAUUUUGUAAAAAAAAAAUUAUUAAUUAUUAUUGUAAUUCUUACUACUACAACUUAUUCACAUACACACACACAUAAGAUAUUUGUUUAAAAUUAUUAUGGCAAGAGAUAUUUCGUGAGCGUGGAUUUCGGCAAGAGAGAUUUCGUGAGCGUGACUAUGAAACCUCCUAAUACAAUAUAUAUAUAUAUAUAUAUAUAUAUAUAUAUAUUCCAGCCCUACGAGACUGAAGCCAUUAAUUCAGGAAUCAAGAGUUACUUUACUUUGCCAAGCUUGUUCCGGCUUCCUUCUGCAGAGGACAUGGAGGAUGUUAACUCGGAGGACGGGUCCAGGAGUACUAGUGAUUGGAUGAUUAAUAGCGAGUUUUGGUAUUUCAUUGUGUUUUUCAUUGUGUAUGGGUCGCCUGUAUAGUAUUGUUCGUGUGGUUUAUUAAGAGUUUUGUGGAACAAGUACAUCUCUUACAAAAUAUUAAAGAUCCAAACCAUGAUAUUAAAGAAGAUUGGUUUGCUACAUUUUAUGGAUU
This is a long non-coding RNA of Cornus florida, 639 nucleotides long. RefSeq lists it as uncharacterized. Lineage: Eukaryota; Viridiplantae; Streptophyta; Magnoliopsida; Cornales; Cornaceae. The record is from RefSeq and is a predicted model, not a curated record. The transcript is spliced from 2 exons.